AAUCUACUAACAGUUAUAAGAAAGAAACUGAUGUUUUUGGAUUGGUGCUUUAGAAAGUCCAUUUAGGCACUGGGGAUAAUAGUUGUAAAUCUCUUGCUGAUAAAUUCUCAGUCAGGCCUGUUUCACAUUACUUCAUUAGCCCCUAACACUUACUUUGUCUUCUUUCUUAUAGGCUUCAGGGUACUGAGUACCUAUCCAAUUUCUUGGAGUUUCCAUUCUAUUCUUGACUGUUUAUAAAUAGACUUGAAUUUCUCAAAUAACUUUCCUGACCCUUUGGUUUAAAUUUUUUACUUUAAUUGAGGAAACAGAAGAAACAGAAAGUAACAUGAAUGGGAACAUUACACAGAUUUAGGAUCCACACAUAUUCCUGCCAUUAUUAGAGAAAAAACAUGGUAUCCUAGACAUUGUAAAUGUGAUAUUGAAGCCAUCCUAACAAAAUUGACAAAACUAAAUUGCUAGGUUUAACAAAAGCAUAAGCUUUAAGUAGAAACAUAGCGAAACAUUAACCAGACUGCCCUAUGGCCCACUUCUGUACAGCUGAUUACUACUUAAAAGUCAAGUAGCUCCUAUAGCAAGGUCCUAACUUGUACAGAUAACAUCUUUAAUGUUAAGAAAUUUCAAGUUUUCCAUUUUGAGAUAUUUUCCAGAUCCUGCAUUCCGGUGGGUCCACUGAUGCCAGCCAGUGUGAAGACCCUCUCUGAGGAACUAACUCAGCCCCCAAAUGCAGUUUUUACAUCUUUAUUAAAGAUAAUAUAACCUGUGCCAUUAUGGCUUCCAGACAGUGACCCUCUUCUUCAGAAAUCAAUCAGCUUCACAGAAAAUUUUGCUGGACAGCCUAAAAGUCAAAGAUCAAGGCAAAAUAAUCUGCUGUGCAUUGCAACCUAGGAAAUGAGCCGACCUUCCAUUUAGAGGUAAUUGCUGAAGGCAUACUACUAACACAAAUCUAAGGGUGGGAGUCAGCCUUAUGAAAUGAAUUGAAAUAAGCCAUGUAGUUUGAAAAUGUGAUAUUUCUUAUUAG
This 1018-nucleotide long non-coding RNA is filed under the name Callithrix jacchus (white-tufted-ear marmoset). Its description in RNAcentral is "lncRNA (ENSCJAG00000085616.1)". Lineage: Eukaryota; Metazoa; Chordata; Mammalia; Primates; Cebidae. The record is from RNAcentral.